AGUGAACGCUGGCGGUAGGCCUAACACAUGCAAGUCGAACGGCAGCACAGUAAGAGCUUGCUCUUACGGGUGGCGAGUGGCGGACGGGUGAGGAAUACAUCGGAAUCUACUUUUUCGUGGGGGAUAACGUAGGGAAACUUACGCUAAUACCGCAUACGACCUACGGGUGAAAGCAGGGGAUCUUCUGACCUUGCGCGAUUGAAUGAGCCGAUGUCGGAUUAGCUAGUUGGCGGGGUAAAGGCCCACCAAGGCGACGAUCCGUAGCUGGUCUGAGAGGAUGAUCAGCCACACUGGAACUGAGACACGGUCCAGACUCCUACGGGAGGCAGCAGUGGGGAAUAUUGGACAAUGGGCGCAAGCCUGAUCCAGCCAUACCGCGUGGGUGAAGAAGGCCUUCGGGUUGUAAAGCCCUUUUGUUGGGAAAGAAAAGCAGCAGGUUAAUACCCCGCUGUUCUGACGGUACCCAAAGAAUAAGCACCGGCUAACUUCGU
RNAcentral lists this ribosomal RNA (491 nucleotides) under uncultured bacterium. RNAcentral describes it as "partial 16S ribosomal RNA". It matches the Rfam family "Bacterial small subunit ribosomal RNA", at positions 29 to 506 of the family's 1533-position model. The record is from RNAcentral.